Molecule: non-coding RNA, 72 nt
Organism: Genlisea aurea
Lineage: Eukaryota; Viridiplantae; Streptophyta; Magnoliopsida; Lamiales; Lentibulariaceae
Source: Rfam
GCCGUCCUAGCUCAGUGGUAGAGCGCGUGGCUUUUAACCACGUGGUCGUGGGUUCAAUCCCCACGGACGGCG